AACGCACAUUGCGCUUCCUGGUAUUCCGGGGAGCAUGCCCGUUUCAGAAUCAUUAAAAUCUCACCAGGGUUGAGCUUUUCGGAGCGCAGCUUUUUGAGUGGAUUUGGAUGUUUUGUUUCGACAAUCAUCUCAAAAUGAUAGUGUGUGCAUCCAUCGAACGUUCGAUGGGUUACCAAAGUGCAACAGAUUUUUCUAUUUCGCUUUGGGAGCUUAUUGAAUUGGAUGGGAGCAUAUACCCAACUUCUUAACAAACGUCUUGCCCUUGGGUGAAACAUUUGAUAACUUGGUCUGAAAUCGGGCAAGAAAACCCGCUGAACUUAA
This 321-nucleotide unclassified non-coding RNA is filed under the name uncultured Spizellomyces. RNAcentral describes it as "sequence contains ITS2". The record is from RNAcentral. Lineage: Eukaryota; Fungi; Chytridiomycota.